Molecule: long non-coding RNA, 1080 nt
Organism: Eriocheir sinensis (Chinese mitten crab)
Lineage: Eukaryota; Metazoa; Arthropoda; Malacostraca; Decapoda; Varunidae
Exons: 7
Source: RefSeq, a predicted model, not a curated record
GGGAGUGAGGACUUGAAGUUGAGUCCGAGGGUUAUGCGGGAGGCCGAGGAGCUUCUGACGGAUUGCUUUAGCGCGGGUGUCAAGGCUUGGGGGAUUAUGAGGCAACACGAACGGCAGCUGUGGCAGAAACGUCAGGCAGCAUAAGGGCACGAAAAACACGCGCAGCUGACCGCCAGCUGAAGGACUACUGAAUCCGGGUCACCAAACAACGUCCUCGACCUGAUGGAAGUGUUGGCAAACAUUGACGUGAGCGACAUCAUGGAAAUCCCCAGUGUGUUUGAGUGUGACGACCAGACCUGCCUUGCGACCAUACACCACGAUUCCGUACGGCGACAGGAUGGUGCAAUAACCUGAAUUUCCCGUCCUUCGGCAAGUCAUUCCGGGCCAAGAGUCGUCUGUUGAGGCCCUCCUAUGAAGGUGGUCUAUCAAAACCCUGAGCUACGUCAAUCACAGGUCAGCCGCUUCCCUCCCCUCGGCUAAUCUCUACGAACAUGCACAACAAUGUCUCGGCUCCUCAUGUUCGCUACACCCUCAUGGUCAUGCAAUGGGGGCAGCUUAUCGACCAUGACAUCAUCUUCACGCCCAUCAACAAAGGUUACCGAGAGCAGAUGAACCAGGUCACUGCAUUUGUGGAUGCCUCACACACCCAUGGCUCAGACAAGUGUGAACAGAGACAGCUGAGAAUGAUAACGGUCACGCUUGCCAAGAUGCUCUGCGAUAACUGUGAUAAUGUGGAGAGUGAGCAGCGGUCCGUCUUUGACCUUCCUGACCCCUUCCUGAACCCUCGUGUGUCCCACCGUGACCUGCCGGGGAUCAACCCGGAGCUGUGGAAGGAGCGCGUGUCAUGUGGGGUCGGCAAGACUGAUAUUGACAUCGGGGCAGCCGAGCGCAUAUCACCCUGUGUCAUGUGCACCUGUACCAAGGAAGGGAAUUGAAUGGCUGAACGGACAUCUCUGGCGUCUUGGUCAAGCGGCACACUGCACACUCUGGAAGAAAGAACACCAAGAUGUCAAGUUCCUGCAGAAUCAGCCUCUUAGUGAAGAAAAUGUGCCUUAUUUAUUUAAUAAAUAAUUGACAAAA